Molecule: ribosomal RNA, 573 nt
Filed under: Lactobacillus sp.
Lineage: Bacteria; Bacillati; Bacillota; Bacilli; Lactobacillales; Lactobacillaceae
Description: bacterial SSU rRNA
Rfam family: Bacterial small subunit ribosomal RNA
Source: RNAcentral
GUAGGGAUCUUCCACAAUGGACGAAAGUCUGAUGGAGCAACGCCGCGUGAGUGAAGAAGGUUUUCGGAUCGUAAAACUCUGUUGUUGGAGAAGAACGUAUUUGAUAGUAACUGAUCAGGUAGUGACGGUAUCCAACCAGAAAGCCACGGCUAACUACGUGCCAGCAGCCGCGGUAAUACGUAGGUGGCAAGCGUUGUCCGGAUUUAUUGGGCGUAAAGCGAGCGCAGGCGGUUUCUUAAGUCUGAUGUGAAAGCCUUCGGCUCAACCGAAGAAGUGCAUCGGAAACUGGGAAACUUGAGUGCAGAAGAGGACAGUGGAACUCCAUGUGUAGCGGUGAAAUGCGUAGAUAUAUGGAAGAACACCAGUGGCGAAGGCGGCUGUCUGGUCUGUAACUGACGCUGAGGCUCGAAAGCAUGGGUAGCAAACAGGAUUAGAUACCCUGGUAGUCCAUGCCGUAAACGAUGAGUGCUAGGUGUUGGAGGGUUUCCGCCCUUCAGUGCCGCAGCUAACGCAUUAAGCACUCCGCCUGGGGAGUACGACCGCAAGGUUGAAACUCAAAGGAAUUGACGGGCC